GGCUUCGUGGUCGAGUGGUAAGGAUACUUGCCUCUCACCCUAGAGUCCGCGGUUCGAUCCCCGCUCGAGGAGCUA
Molecule: non-coding RNA, 75 nt
Organism: Rhamnusium bicolor
Lineage: Eukaryota; Metazoa; Arthropoda; Insecta; Coleoptera; Cerambycidae
Source: the annotation of a GenBank genome assembly